AUCGGGGAGGCCACGCUUAGUUGG
This 24-nucleotide non-coding RNA is filed under the name Arabidopsis thaliana (thale cress). Lineage: Eukaryota; Viridiplantae; Streptophyta; Magnoliopsida; Brassicales; Brassicaceae. The record is from RNAcentral.